AGUGAACGCUGGCGGUAGGCCUAACACGUGCAAGUCGAACGGCAGCACAGUAAGAGCUUGCUCUUACGGGUGGCGAGUGGCGGACGGGUGAGGAAUACAUCGGAAUCUACUUUUUCGUGGGGGAUAGCGUAGGGAAACUUACGCUAAUACCGCAUACGACCUACGGGUGAAAGCAGGGGAUCUUCGGACCUUGCGCGAUUGAAUGAGCCGAUGUCGGAUUAGCUAGUUGGCGGGGUAAAGGCCCACCAAGGCGACGAUCCGUAGCUGGUCUGAGAGGAUGAUCAGCCACACUGGAACUGAGACACGGUCCAGACUCCUACGGGAGGCAGCAGUGGGGAAUAUUGGACAAUGGGCGCAAGCCUGAUCCAGCCAUACCGCGUGGGUGAAGAAGGCCUUCGGGUUGUAAAGCCCUUUUGUUGGGAAAGAAAAGCAGCAGGUUAAUACCCCGCUGUUCUGACGGUACCCAAAGAAUAAGCACCGGCUAACUUCGCG
This 492-nucleotide ribosomal RNA is filed under the name uncultured bacterium. Its description in RNAcentral is "partial 16S ribosomal RNA". It matches the Rfam family "Bacterial small subunit ribosomal RNA", at positions 29 to 507 of the family's 1533-position model. The record is from RNAcentral.